AAUAGAUACCCGGGUAGUCCACGCCGUAAACGAUGAGUGCUAAGUGUUAGAGGGUUUCCGCCCUUUAGUGCUGCAGCUAACGCAUUAAGCACUCCGCCUGGGGAGUACGGCCGCAAGGCUGAAACUCGGAAAGGUAAGUUGACGGGGGCCCGCACAAGCGGUGGAGCAUGUGGUUUAAUUCGAAGCAACGCGAAGAACCUUACCAGGUCUUGACAUCCUCUGCCAACCCUAGAGAUAGGGCGUUCCCCUUCGGGGGACAGAGUGACAGGUGGUGCAUGGUUGUCGUCAGCUCGUGUCGUGAGAUGUUGGGUUAAGUCCCGCAACGAGCGCAACCCUUGAUCUUAGUUGCCAGCAUUCAGUUGGGCACUCUAAGGUGACUGCCGGUGACAAACCGGAGGAAGGUGGGGAUGACGUCAAAUCAUCAUGCCCCUUAUGACCUGGGCUACACACGUGCUACAAUGGAUGGUACAAAGAGCUGCGAACCCGCGAGGGUAAGCGAAUCUCAUAAAGCCAUUCUCAGUUCGGAUUGUAGG
RNAcentral lists this ribosomal RNA (533 nucleotides) under uncultured bacterium. Its description in RNAcentral is "bacterial SSU rRNA". It matches the Rfam family "Bacterial small subunit ribosomal RNA", at positions 777 to 1304 of the family's 1533-position model. The record is from RNAcentral.